GUGACUGCAAGGGGAGGGGGCUAUGGGCCGCAAGUUACUUGCCGGAAGAAGGACAUCUACUCGAAAUUCCACGAGGAUGCUAAAGUCUGCUGCAAUGGAGAAUUGGUGAUGACAACAGGUGGGACGCAGAAGGAGUACGUGGUGGAUGUGUGUAUGAACACAAAAAUUCUUUUUCAUUUCUACUAACUACUUAACUGCUUUAAGAUUUUGUCCUCCAUGUGAGGACAUAUUUAUUUGUUGUUAUUUUCUUAGCUAAGAAGAAGAUGAGAACAAGAUGAGAAGGAAAAACAGAAACUACUUUGAUACAAUUCAAACACAUAUAUAGAGUAGAAAAAGAAGAGUUUUGACUUACCAGAGCAAAGUUGAGAACAAGAUAUGAGUCGAAAAAUAGAGCUUCUUUGAGUCUGCUGUGAGUGUCUUUGAGUCUGUUGUGAGUGUCAAUUGAAGAGCAGGAGUUGAAGAGCAGGGUUUUCUG
RNAcentral lists this long non-coding RNA (475 nucleotides) under Gossypium barbadense (sea-island cotton). Its description in RNAcentral is "long non-coding RNA (GBAR_LNC021530)". The record is from RNAcentral. Lineage: Eukaryota; Viridiplantae; Streptophyta; Magnoliopsida; Malvales; Malvaceae.